UGGGGAAUUUUGCACAAUGGGGGAAACCCUGAUGCAGCGACGCCGCGUGAUUUAGAAGGCCUUCGGGUUGUAAAAAUCUUUUCUAUGAGAAGAAAAUGACAGUACCAUAGGAAUAAGGACCGGCUAAUUACGUGCCAGCAGCCGCGGUAAUACGUAAGGUCCGAGCGUUGUCCGGAAUCAUUGGGCGUAAAGGGUACGUAGGCGGGUAAGCAAGUUAGAAGUGAAAUCCUAUAGCUCAACUAUAGUAAGCUUUUAAAACUGCUCAUCUUGAGGUAUGGAAGGGAAAGUGGAAUUCCUAGUGUAGCGGUGAAAUGCGCAGAUAUUAGGAGGAAUACCGGUGGCGAAGGCGACUUUCUGGCCAUAACCUGACGCUGAGGUACGAAAGCGUGGGUAGCAAACAGG
This 402-nucleotide ribosomal RNA is filed under the name bacterium. RNAcentral describes it as "partial 16S ribosomal RNA". It matches the Rfam family "Bacterial small subunit ribosomal RNA", at positions 355 to 776 of the family's 1533-position model. The record is from RNAcentral.